CCCCCUCACCCCGAUGGGUCGGGCGGGAUCGUCCAGAGAACCAAAGAACGACGCCUCCCUGAAGGAGUCUCAAACCAGCCGAACCAGUAUCUCCUGACUUUUUAUUAUAAUAUCUUCGCUCCCAGACAAUUAGAGGACGGUUCCCACGCUGUGAUUCAACCUCGCGUCGGUUGUCGCGGUGACUUUUCCCGCCCCCCCCCAAAAAAAUUGGCCCGCGGCCACAAGAAAAGAACACCGAGGCAGAAGACAUUUAUUCAUCGUUAGUAUACCCCUAAAGGUUCCUUUCCGGUAUCGAACCUGUGAAAGCCGGCGGCGGGGGUCGGGGGGUCGGCGAAGACGCCUGGACGCAGGGAAACAACCGUGCUGGAGGUGGCAGGACAGGUUUGCGGAGCCCCGGGGGCCUUCGGCUGCUGGUCCCUCCUCACUUGGCCCCCGCAGCCCUGCUGCUGCACAUCAACCAUGCAAGUUGAACUCAUCACCGUGUGCCAUCGAUUUGAGCCUCCUCCUCCUCCUCCUCCUCCUCCUCACGUUGAGUUUAAGGUCAUGUUGGGUCCGUUGAAGGUCAUCUGCUGAAAUCGGACCCGACACUCACACCCACAGAAGAAGGACACAAGAAGAAG
This is a long non-coding RNA of Gasterosteus aculeatus aculeatus (three-spined stickleback), 620 nucleotides long. The record is from Ensembl. Lineage: Eukaryota; Metazoa; Chordata; Actinopteri; Perciformes; Gasterosteidae.